CAAACAGGCACUUGGAUAAAUCACAAAAAAGAAAACCACUUAGCAUGCUGCUUUCCUCAAUAACACCUUUUUCUGAAGGUACAAGGCUGAGUGCUGUAGGGAGAGUGUGUGUGAAGAGAAAAGCAAGGCUGCAACAGCCCGCUGAAGUGUGCUCAAGGUCAGCCCCUCUUACAGAAGACCAAGAGGUCACGUUUGACUUAGAAGGAACCACGAAGAUAAGUUUCAUGAGCGACAUAACUGGAGCCAUUAGCAAGCUCAUCCAAGAGUAAUCAUCCAUCAAAGGCACUCAGCCCAGGGGUGCGUUUGCACCCCCCCCCCGUCAGCAAUGGAUGAAAGCGGGCAGUGGCUCUACCAGCGUCAGUAUGCAGGAGGUCACUUUCUCCACAACCAGCGCUGCUCCAGCAGAUCACUAGUUGAGAAGCGAAUCAAACUGAUGUGAAACAUGGAGUACCUCUCACGUGGUCAUUGAGAGGAAGACUUGCUGGACAGUCUCCACAAAACCUCAACACUGGUUUGGAUUGGUAUUUCCUUCUGAGUGCAUCAGCAGUGCCAACAUGACGAAAGACAACUAGGAGUAAGGGCUACAGCUGCUCUUCUAACAUUGCUGGGACAGCCUCCAGAAUAAAUUUCCAGCUCCUACUAACUCCUACUGGAUGUAUCUUCUGCGCCAAGGCCUCUGGAAAGGACCUGAACUGGAGGAGGUUUGGCAAUUUAUCUGUGCUGUGUAGAAUCCAGCAAUAAGUUAUUCCGAUAGGAAGGUCUAAUACAGUUAAUAGAGCAUAUAAAACUGUCUACUGUGUUUCAUCAUAUUUAAUUUGCUGCAGCAAACUGCAGCCACCCAAUGCUGUUUCAGCCUCCCUUUUACAACCCUGCGGUGAUGCUCUCCCGGCUGAGGAGUUCCUGUGUCACCAGUGCUUCUGCGUUGACAGAGCAGUGCAAUGCCUCCAGAGCAUUCAGCUGCUUCUCCCCCUCCAGUGUGGUCCCAAGUGAAGCAUCUCCCUCACCACUGUGGGGAGAGCCACGAGGGACCCCGUGGCCCAGCCAUCCCCACAAAGAGUGGCCAAGCAGGAGGGCAACGCCAGCCUCCGGCCACCCGUAGCUAUGAUCUCUUCUGGGGCAUGAGCUUUGGGAGUGCUCGGGCUGUGCAGAAGGUUGGUGCACCUCUCCAGGGAUUUCUCCAGACGCAUCCUCCUGUCACGUUUUGUGGUUUGUGAGGGAUAUGAUUCACUACCCCAGCAGCCUACUGUGCAGCCUGUGCCCCGUGAUAGCGCUUAACGAGAGAGCAGUGACUCACCGGGCCCCCCCAGCCCACGGGAUGGUGGGACUUCACUUCUCGCAGGGGCUGGGGCAUCACAGGGUCCAGUCCGUGCCUCCCAGCCUUUGGUCAGAUGGGCUUACGUGCCACAGCAUGUGGCACGUGGCUGUGGCAAAACAGAGAUGUUGGGAUGAAGGGAACAGACCUACCUUAAGCUUAUUUAAGAAAAGCCGCUGUUAUGUUAGCUGCCUGCCCAGAUGAGGUGUGGUACUGAUGCUGCUGUCAUUAAAUUAAAGUUGUUCAUUUUUUUCUAAAAAACUUUCCUAGGUAGACAAGGAUUUCCUUUUUAAACUAGGAUAGGUUGAGAUGACUGGGUCACUCUUGUAUUUUCUUGUAAUGUGUGCAACAGUGGCUGUAAUCAUAGAGUCAUGCAUCACGUAGGUUAGACCUCUAGAGGUCAUCUAGUCCAACAUCCUUCUCCAAGUGUAAAAUACAGGUUAGUCACCUGCAAGCACCAGUCUGGAGUAUGAGCAAGGAGAAGUGGGCUUACCAGCAGAAAUGUCCGGGCACUGCUGCCCCAAAUACUACCUCAGCUGCCCCUAUCUCUCCAGCCCUUCAUGUAGCCUGUGUGGCCUCAGCCCAGCACAGUCUCCCUUGCACCUGCAUGGCACCAAGCAGCUCCCUGAGUGUCUACCACCAUCUCUGAUGUCCCACCUCAGCUCCACAAGAAGAAGGUGGUGGGUUACAAUAAUGCUAGACAUGAGCACACUUUGGUCUAAGGGUACAGAUGAGGGAAACAGGAGUACAUAUAGCUGGGGGUAUUACCACUAAUGUAUGCAAGUCUAGCACUACUGGUGCCCAUCAGAGAGACAAAAAAUCUCGUAUAAAGUAUUUCCGAAGAACUUUUACAGUGUCCCAGCCCAGUGAUCAGUACAGUGGUAUGGAAAGCAUCUUGUAGCACAUUUAUUUGCAUGAUGGCUGCUCUCACCCGGGCCAGGUUAAAAGGAUCAUAUCCCAACAGUAGGUAAAUGAGAGCUCUGCUCACCAAAACAUGCCUCAUAGCUACUCAGCUGGAAAGCAGGGAUCCUACUCAUGCCUUUCAAUCAAUAUAAAGUAUGCUGCUGGACCUCUUGUAGCUGCUUUUUCACUUCAAUUAAUUGAUGACCAUAAUUAACAUAUGAAAUACUUUAAAACACUUGUUUUGCGUAAGCCGUGACCUUCAAUCAUUGUCAUGAGAGCAUGUCCUGUAGCUAGCCUUAGAUGACAGGCAUAAUUUGUAACUAUUUGUUGUCCAUUCUGCGACCUAACCACGAAAGGGGACAGAAUGAAUACAGAAGUGUGGAAAGAAAGGAUGGCAACAGUAAAUGGAGAGCAAUUAGUGGAAUACUCACCAACAAAGUGUAGGUGGCUCAUCUCUGCAUUUUGCAGCCCUUGCAAGGGCAUUGCCUUUGGUUUUGGACAAAGGAUUUAGCUGCCCACUGCAGUGGACAGCUGUCACUACACCCUUUCUUGCACUCAUUGCAUUUGCAGACACAAAGAAGGUGCACAGGCUGAAGAAAUAGUUUCAUUUUUCCACUUUCUGGGUGAGACUAGCAGUUCUGUGCUGUGUUGUCCAAAGUGGUGGUACCAUUACGGGGCAAGAGUCAACACCUGAUUAAGAAGAUUAUUGCUGUGGACAAGUCUGAUUUCCUGUCUCUCAAUUCUCACCCUCUGCAGCUAUCGUAUUUCACUUCUGGGCUGAAAAUUCCCAUGUUUCAGCCUCCCUGUGACUUUUUGCAAGUCUGAGAGAUCAUUCAGCUCAAAGUGCUUUGUAGUUAUGGGCAAUAUUCUGCCUGCUCACAUUGGAUUUUUCUGCCUGCGUUCUUGCAGGUUCUUGUCAUAGGGCAGUCCAAGAAGGGUAAGCAUAUGUGGAUCCAGACACCUCAUUUCAGGAUUCUUCAAGUCAUUUCUAUUCAGUGUGUCUGGUGGGAGAGGAAGUCUAAACACCCUGUUCAUUUCAGGAGGUACAAUAGCAAGGUCCAAGAGGUUAAGAAGAAAUGAGGCUGACUGUAAAGAUACUGAGCUAAACACAAAGGGAGUAUGAAUAUCUGCAAGUGCUGGCUUGCUAUGGUUUCAGUGAUGUGUCACUCCACUCGACCGAAGUGGGAUGCUCAUGCUUUGCCAUAGUGUGGUAUUCACCAACCAUUUGUUGGGCAGACCAAACCUCCUCUGGGCACACCAAGAAGCUGGAAUUCAUCUCAUCACACAUUUGCCAUCUUAAAGUUAAGAGUCUUGUUUGAAAUGCACACUUAUGUACCUGCAAGCAAGAGAGAGGGAUACGCAUCUCAAGCAGGUGGAUCAGCUAAUCCUGAAAAGGGGUUUAAGGCAGGAAGGAUAAAUUGCCCUCCGGAGAUAUCUCUAUCUUGUCUUUGACUACAGAAGGAGCCUAGGCAGCAAGUUCAGACUAGAAGCUUAAAACAGAGCUUGCUAAAAGUUGGUAGGAGGAUUCCCACCAAAUAGUAAUGGUAGGAACUAUUCUGUGUGCCCAUCAAUAAAGUUUGCUCCAACUUGAGUCCAGUGGCUUUAAUAUUCAGCUCGAAAUUAUACAUUGCAUACUUGAUGCUAUAGUUCUCACUGGCCAGACUUCCUGGGUGUACACGAUUGUGAAGAGCAGGUAGAACAAUGGAUGAAGGAAACCUGGCCUUCAACCCCAGCUCUUCCAGGAUGUCUUUGUGUGACUGGAGAAGACACUUUACCUCUCUGCCCCUCAGCUUGUCCAUCUAUAAAAAGAAACAUUGGUACUGUUUUACGCUCAGUCGGGAUCCUCAGAGCAGUCAUUCACCUCAGUGAUGUUGUGAGUGUUGAGAAGCGCUUCUGCCCCUUCAUAGGCACCAGAAGACAUUUUUCUCUACUGCCUCCCAAGCCUGCACACACAGUGGUGGUUUGGACAUCCUAGGAAAUUACAGUAGAGCGCCAGACCCUGCAAGACUCAUCUGCUACCCUAGCCUGAAGAUGUUGAUGCCCAGACUGACAGGCAGACUGCCGUGUUCUUCACCAGCUACCAGAAAGCAUGCCUAGCCCAAGCCAUCUCAGGCCUUUGUCUGAGGAGAUCAAAUGCAGACCACCCACUUAUAAAGCUGGCAGAGGCAGGUAAACAGGUAUGAGGGGAAAAAUCACCUUUUAGCUACCAGGCCCUAUAUUUUCUGCAAAGGUUUCUCUCACCUCGCACUACCUGUCUGAUUAUUAAUUUAGGAAAUGAACUCACACAUACAUUCUGGGGAUCCAGGUCUUCUAUACCUGUAGUUAAAACUAUGAUCAAAGAGGAUUUCUGCUUGAAGACAAAUAUUUCUGUUUAUUUCCUAAGCCAUUCCUUUGGAUCUAUUCUUUUUCAUUGAUUUCUGAAUUCUAAAUUCCUCAUCAUGACUGGUACCAUGUCAGCCCAGAAAUAAACUCAUGUAGCAGUGACACAGAAUCACAGCAGCUCCUUUUCUUACCCCAAGUUCUGCUCUGUUAUGUUAGUAUAGUGUCCUACAGACUCCACUAUGUGAAGAAGGAAUAUUUACCUUGCACAAGUUUUGACAGAGAAAAAUUUACUCAGUCUGGUAGGUUUUCAGGACCAUCCCAUUCAGAAACUAACUCUCCAUCCAGUUAAUGUCACUCAGGUCGGUAUGUGCUUGCUUUGGAGAUAGAGAAGUGUUGCCUAGUGAGCAGUGUCCAUGUUUAAUGGAGCAGGAGGGGUGUCAGGCCUGGCAGCCUCUCUGAAAAGGAUUAGUAUUGUUGCCUGGGUGGAGGUUGCCCAUCAUCUCUCACCGCAAGCAAUGCUGGGCUGGGUAUCAGCUGCAAAGUUCAUGGGAUCCAGAAAGGGAGAUAGCGAAGUCUUCCCACGUGGGAUGAGGAAGCCUCAAAUGCCAUGUAAGCGUUGUUCAGCCCUUGCCGGGGUGAACAGGGGUCAUGCAAUGUUGGCUCCUUUCCUUUGGUCAUCUCGGGGGCACGUGAGUCAGCACAGUUGUGGCGUUCAUGAUUAGAAAUUAAAUCCACAAACUGUUGAGGAUCUUCAGAUUCACAGACUUUCAAUAAGUAUUUAAGGAAUAGCAUACUCGUUGUACAAUUUCAUGGUAAUUGUGUAUGUACAAAACAUACAUACACACAUGCACACAUUUUUAGUCCCUGUAUGAGUUAGAGAACGUAUGCUGUUUGAAUUCUAUAGAACUGAUGAAUUUUAAAACAUUUUGCUUUGCUAUAUUCACCUCUGUUCCCACGGUAAGUUCUACCCAAACCUGUGUCUACCCAAGCUUCCUGAAGUAGAUGUCUGGUAAAGCAAAAGAGACAGACACUCUCCAUCUUCUACCCCCUCAUCGUCUCCCUUAUUUUCUGAGGCAGCAUAAAUCAAGGCUUUGCUUGUGCUGAUGAUUAAAGUGCUCUGUUUUUUUCCAGAAAUUAAUAUUGUUCUUAGUGAGAAAAAUAUAUUUGAAAUGCACACAGUAGGUGUGAAAUGUAUCAUGCCUUUAAAAUCAGUCUUCUACCACUGAGACAGGCACCUGGGGGGAGCAGUGGAGGUGGGGGAUUCUGGUUGAUUUGGGGGUUUAUUUUGGUGAUCCUUUCCUUGUUAUCAUGAUAUUAAUACCUCUUAUUUGUUAUGAGUAUUAGCUGCUGCAGUAAAACCCAACCAAGGGCAGGAUAAAUGUUCACAUAAGCAUUUUUCUAGUUAAUGAAAGGAUAUGAAGUGCUAGUCAUCAUAGGAUGUUAUUAGCGUGAACCACAGUCUUCUGUAUUCAGUAUAAACAAUUUACUGCAAAAAGGGAAAAUAGAAACAUGGUAUGUAUAGCAUAUAGCUGAAAAACAUACGCCUUCCAGUGGCAUUCCGCUGAGAAUUAGAGCCAAAUACUGUCCUUUCUCUUUCUCCAACAUACACACCAACUCCUGCUAUCAUAACAUACAUUACUUCCACCAGAGUUUGAGUCAUCAUAUUUUAUUACACCUGUUAAAAGACAGCUCAAUCUUUAUAGCGGAUGAACUUUUGUAAUUACUCUAUAUUUAUGUUGUAUUUUUGAGUUAAUUAUAUUGUGCUUAUGGGUUUUGACAGCUAAUUACCACUAAUUCAUAUAAUGACAUGUCUGAAAUACUUGAUAUUCAAUUGUUUUCAUAAUGAUAUAUUUUGCUUAUCUUGUAUUUACAUGGUAAUUGCUACAGACAUGUAGUUACAGUGCCAGUUAUGUGAGCUUAGGCGCAACUAAAAGUCUCCAAAAGCAGAUACACUGUUUGGUUAUCCCAGGCAAUGGACGAAAUUAAACAUUUUAGCUUGGUUGUGUGUAUAGUAAGGGUUUCAGAGGAAAAAGUAUGCCUUCAUAUGAAAGCUACAGCUAGAACUAGUUAUCGCUAACUCCCUGAAGAAUGCAGUAUCACAACAGUGGCUCUAUUAUAUGGGUAACCAAAAAAUUGUCCAUAUGUGCUGUCAGCUCAGCGAGUGUCUGGCAUUGAUCUAUCAGUUCCCAUGGCUUCCACUACCAACAGCAAAGUUCCAGAAAUAAAAGCAGUAAUUCUCUUUUUCAUGUGAUUUUUCAGGAGCUAUUGAACGAGUUUAGCUUGAGAUUUUUGUUCAAGUCGUGACCCAGGGCCCAAGUCCCAUGAGCAUUUGCCUUAAGACUGUGAUGGUACCAUGAGUUCAGUUCAAAUACAAACUCAUGCUACCAUAAAUGUACUGCAGCAUUCCUGGACCUUCUUCCCACGUGGCAAACUGAGGGUGCAUCAGGCCACUGUGGAGGUCAGAGCUCAGCCAGUCUAAUAUCUGAAUGUCUCUUACUCAGUGGGAUUUGCGCCCGGGACUUGUGUAAGAAUUGUUUUCUCAUACUAAAUGGGAGCCUGUCCUUGACCUUUAGGGUGUUCUACACCAUGUGGGCUGUCAGUAAUUCACUUCUGUGCUUGCAGCAAGCACACUGGCCAGAUGGAAAUCCCACGCUCGCAGUCCCCAGCAGCAAUCUCAUGCCACCAGCCCAGUGCUUUUCACCAACAUGAGACAUUUUUCAGCAUGAGUAAGGACCCACAGCACCUUCUGCUACAAUAAAACUAUUUGUUCAGUUAUACAAAAUUUUCCUUUCAAAGCAAGUCUAGAGCCAUUUUAUGAGUCAUCUGCUUUAUUUUAUCAGCAAGAAAUUGGGCAUAUAUUCGCUAAGGCUUAAUCUGAAAUCUUUUGCUCACAGCGGAACUAUUUUCAUUGAUUUCAAAGGGUCCCAGAUCAAGCUUCAAGGUCCUUAAUACACUAUUAAGUUUUAGUCUGUCAAAUUUGUUCAUUUGGGGCCUUUAUGAAUUGCAGAGUAGUUGUGUACAGACCCAAGUCAUGCGGAGAUUAAAUAAACCCCAUCAACAUCAGUCUCCUGACACAGAAUAGCAACAAGAAACAAAUAUUGACUGGAAAAACAAUGCAUGUACAGUGACAUUUAGCUUGUAUAAAGUGAUAGUCUCUAUAUAAAUACAAACAGCACCAUUUCCCCAGAGCUGA
Long non-coding RNA from Aquila chrysaetos chrysaetos, 7730 nucleotides. RefSeq lists it as uncharacterized. The record is from RefSeq and is a predicted model, not a curated record. Lineage: Eukaryota; Metazoa; Chordata; Aves; Accipitriformes; Accipitridae. The transcript has 3 exons.